GGUAGUCCACGCCGUAAACGAUGUCGACUUGGAGGUUGUGCCCUUGAGGCGUGGCUUCCGGAGCUAACGCGUUAAGUCGACCGCCUGGGGAGUACGGCCGCAAGGUUAAAACUCAAAUGAAUUGACGGGGGCCCGCACAAGCGGUGGAGCAUGUGGUUUAAUUCGAUGCAACGCGAAGAACCUUACCUACUCUUGACAUCCAGAGAACUUAGCAGAGAUGCUUUGGUGCCUUCGGGAACUCUGAGACAGGUGCUGCAUGGCUGUCGUCAGCUCGUGUUGUGAAAUGUUGGGUUAAGUCCCGCAACGAGCGCAACCCUUAUCCUUUGUUGCCAGCGGUUAGGCCGGGAACUCAAGGGAGACUGCCAGUGAUAAACUGGAGGAAGGUGGGGAUGACGUCAAGUCAUCAUGGCCCUUACGAGUAGGGCUACACACGUGCUACAAUGGCGCAUACAAAGAGAAGCGACCUCGCGAGAGCAAGCGGACCUCAUAAAGUGCGUCGUAGUCCGGAUUGGAGUCUGCAACUCGACUCCAUGAAGUCGGAAUCGCUAGUAAUCGUAGAUCAGAAUGCUGCGGUGAAUACGUUCCCGGGCCUUGUACACACCGCCCGUCACACCAUGGGAGUGGGUUGCAAAAGAAGUAGGUAGCUUAACCUUCGGGAGGGCGCUUACCACUUUGUGAUUCAUGACUGGGGUGAAGUCGUAACAAGGUAACCGUAGGGGAACCUGC
This 726-nucleotide ribosomal RNA is filed under the name uncultured bacterium. RNAcentral describes it as "bacterial SSU rRNA". It matches the Rfam family "Bacterial small subunit ribosomal RNA", at positions 789 to 1515 of the family's 1533-position model. The record is from RNAcentral.